GGGUCCGCACAAGCGGUGGAGCAUGUGGUUUAAUUCGAUGAUACGCGAGGAACCUUACCUGGGCUCGAACACUAUUAGACGAUACCUGAAAGGGUAUUUCUCUUCGGAGCUGGUAGUGAGGUGCUGCAUGGUUGUCGUCAGCUCGUGCCGUGAGUGUCAGGUUAAGUCCUAUAACGAGCGCAACCCCUAUCGUUAGUUACCAGCGGGUCAAGCCGGGGACAUUAAGAAGACUGCCGGUGACAAACCGGAGGAAGGCGGGGACGACGUCAAGUCAUCAUGGCCCUUAUGGGUAGGGCUACACACGUGCUACAAUGGUUGGUACAGAGGGAAGCAAAGCGGCGACGUGGAGCA
Molecule: ribosomal RNA, 351 nt
Filed under: uncultured bacterium
Lineage: Bacteria
Description: bacterial SSU rRNA
Rfam family: Bacterial small subunit ribosomal RNA
Source: RNAcentral